GAUGAACGCUGGCGGCGUGCCUAAUACAUGCAAGUCGAGCGAACAGACGAGGAGCUUGCUCCUCUGACGUUAGCGGCGGACGGGUGAGUAACACGUGGAUAACCUACCUAUAAGACUGGGAUAACUUCGGGAAACCGGAGCUAAUACCGGAUAAUAUAUUGAACCGCAUGGUUCAAUAGUGAAAGACGGUUUUGCUGUCACUUAUAGAUGGAUCCGCGCCGCAUUAGCUAGUUGGUAAGGUAACGGCUUACCAAGGCAACGAUGCGUAGCCGACCUGAGAGGGUGAUCGGCCACACUGGAACUGAGAAACGGUCCAGACUCCUACGGGAGGCAGCAGUAGGGAAUCUUACGCAAUGGGCGAAAGCCUGACGGAGCAACGCCGCGUGAGUGAUGAAGGUCUUCGGCUCGUAAAACUCUGUUAUUAGGGAAGAACAAAUGUGUAAGUAACUAUGCACGUCUUGACGGUACCUAAUCAGAAAGCCACGGCUAACUACGUG
RNAcentral lists this ribosomal RNA (497 nucleotides) under uncultured bacterium. Its description in RNAcentral is "partial 16S ribosomal RNA". It matches the Rfam family "Bacterial small subunit ribosomal RNA", at positions 28 to 507 of the family's 1533-position model. The record is from RNAcentral.